RNAcentral lists this long non-coding RNA (1110 nucleotides) under Homo sapiens (human). RNAcentral's name for it is "HSALNT0245728". Lineage: Eukaryota; Metazoa; Chordata; Mammalia; Primates; Hominidae. The record is from RNAcentral.
AUUCACAAUCAUGAUCAAUGCCUCCGGGACUAUGAAAACGCCAUCAUGAAUGUUUACAUUAUUCUCUUGGGUGAGCGGAGCUUUGGAAAGGAAAAAAAGGAAAGUCUAAACUGACAAACUUCUGAAAACACUCGGGUCUGGCAGGAGUUCUCUUCUCUCCCCGAGAGCAGAAUUGGGGUUGAGCGGCACUUGGUAGGCGUGGAGCGCGCUUCAGUCUCGGGCCACUACCCCAGGCGUUUUCUCAUCUGACACUCACAGCAGCCCUCGGCUUCUCCUCUCUGCCUCCAUGAUCUGGAACCUUCAGCUGGUCAACUGAGCCACGCCCGGUGCUGUGGUGCUUCCCCAAGCUGCACACGCCGAUGGCAGUGAGGAAUGACUGCGCCCAUUGCAUCACCUCCUCGCUGUCAGUGAGCCAGUGAGCACCUGCGGCUGCUUCGAGGGGAACUACAAUAAAACUUCCAAGACAGUCCACUUUUUAGGAGGUAUAAGCAAAGAGCAAACACAACCUGUCAAUCGUGCCGAAUGCUGCUGAUGCUGUUCUCUCAUCCUAAAACAGACGAUGAAAAUGCUAAGCUCUGUAAAGAAGGACUUAGUCAUAUUCAAAAUUCUCCAAUAAACACCUCACUGUUGUGUUUCGCCAGCUCCGCAUUACACGCAAGUCUCAAUGGCCCGUGGCUCAGUGUCCUGCUCCGUGAAAUGACGGAAUUGGACACAGCUCACAGCUCACUCUGGAGUUAACUGAAGCCCUUGAAGGAAAACCACCAGGUUUUCUAAGAGUUUAUGGCAUUAUUUAUUUUUAUUAUCCUCACCAAAAAUUUAUGUUCAGCCACUUUUUUUUUCCUCUAAAUUUUCUGGAACGUUUCUCCUUAGUGUUCUUCAUUCAUGAAGCACAUAAAAGUCUCUUUGACCUUAUCUCUCUCUCUCUUUUUGUAAAGCUCUUCUUGGUAUUAUUGAAUUUUAUUCAUAGCAAGACCCAUCUGAGGCAAUCCUGGUGCAAUCUUCCUCACUUUGUCUGUCUUCCUUCCUUCCUUCUUUCCUUUCUCCCUUCCUUCUCUCUCUCUUUGUGUCUUUCUUUCUUUCUUUUUCUUUCUCUCUCUCUCUUUCUCUCUC